AUGCGCCGGGUGCCGUCGUCCACGACGGCGCUGGCGGCCGCGGUGGCCGCGGCGUCCACGGGCAUGCAGUCCGACGAGGAGGACGAGGACGAGGUCGACGAGGAGGAGAAGGAGAGCGCGGCGCUGCUGUUCACGUCGCGGGUGGGGGACAGGGAGGAGCUGGUGCAGAGCGUGCGGCGGUGCCGGCAGCUCCGCCAGAGGCCGCUCUUCAUCGUGGAGCCAUACUCCAUCAUCGCCACCUGA
This 243-nucleotide ribosomal RNA is filed under the name Triticum aestivum (bread wheat). RNAcentral describes it as "partial small subunit ribosomal RNA". Lineage: Eukaryota; Viridiplantae; Streptophyta; Magnoliopsida; Poales; Poaceae. The record is from RNAcentral.